RNAcentral lists this ribosomal RNA (468 nucleotides) under uncultured bacterium. RNAcentral's name for it is "partial 16S ribosomal RNA". It matches the Rfam family "Bacterial small subunit ribosomal RNA", at positions 28 to 507 of the family's 1533-position model. The record is from RNAcentral.
GACGAACGCUGGCGGCGUGCUUAACACAUGCAAGUCGAACGGAAAGGCCCUGCUUUUGUGGGGUGCUCGAGUGGCGAACGGGUGAGUAACACGUGAGUAACCUGCCCUUGACUUUGGGAUAACUUCAGGAAACUGGGGCUAAUACCGGAUAGGAGCCCCUGCUGCAUGGUGGGGGUUGGAAAGUUUCGGCGGUUGGGGAUGGACUCGCGGCUUAUCAGCUUGUUGGUGGGGUAGUGGCUUACCAAGGGUUCGACGGGUAGGCGGCCUGAGAGGGUGACCGGCCACAUUGGGACUGAGGGACGGACCAGACUCCUACGGGAGGCAGCAGUGGGGAAUAUUGCACAAUAGGCGGAAGCGUGAUACAGAAACGCCGCGUGCGGAAUGACGGCCUUCGGGGUGUAAACCGCUUUCGCCUGUGACGAAGCGUGAGUGACGGUAAUGGGUAAAGAAGCAUCGGCUAACUACGUG